GCGUUAAUGGAGCGGCCGAUAUCUGAUUAGCUAGUUGGUGGGGUAAAGGCCUACCAAGGCGACGAUCAGUAGCUGGUCUGAGAGGACGACCAGCCACACUGGAACUGAGACACGGUCCAG
This 120-nucleotide ribosomal RNA is filed under the name uncultured bacterium. RNAcentral's name for it is "partial 16S ribosomal RNA". It matches the Rfam family "Bacterial small subunit ribosomal RNA", at positions 215 to 334 of the family's 1533-position model. The record is from RNAcentral.